RNAcentral lists this ribosomal RNA (253 nucleotides) under uncultured bacterium. RNAcentral's name for it is "partial 16S ribosomal RNA". It matches the Rfam family "Bacterial small subunit ribosomal RNA", at positions 524 to 776 of the family's 1533-position model. The record is from RNAcentral.
UACGGAGGGGGCGAGCGUUAUUCGGAAUUAUUGGGCGUAAAGGGCGCGUAGGCGGCGCGAUAAGUCAAAGGUGAAAUCCCUCGGCUCAACUGAGGAACUGCCUUUGAGACUGUCGAGCUUGUGGCCGGGAGGGGGUAGCGGAAUUCCCAGUGUAGCGGUGAAAUGCGUAGAUAUUGGGAGGAACACCAGUGGCGAAGGCGGCUACCUGGACCGGUUCUGACGCUGAUGCGCGAAAGCGUGGGUAGCAAACAGG